This is a long non-coding RNA of Suricata suricatta (meerkat), 1586 nucleotides long. RefSeq lists it as uncharacterized. The transcript has 2 exons. Lineage: Eukaryota; Metazoa; Chordata; Mammalia; Carnivora; Herpestidae. The record is from RefSeq and is a predicted model, not a curated record.
AUUUCAAACUGAAUGAUAAUUAAAAGAGAGCAAAUAAAAAUUUGUGAAAGAAAUAAAACAGCUAAGCAGAAUGCUUCAGAGAAAUUUGCAAAUUUAAGUGUUUAUAUUAAAAACAAGAAUAAUUGAAAACAAUGGUUCAAGAGUCAUCCUAAAAGCAAUUAGUGUAUAUUAAAUACAAAAGAAGUGGAAAUCAAGAAAUAAAACUAGGAGCAGAAAUAGAGAUUAUGCAGCCUGAAAACUUAGCUAAAAGAGGAAUUUUUAAAAGGCUGAUGAAACUUUAUAAGCACCUACUUAGACUGCAGGAGAGAUAAAAAGAAAAUACAAAUUAGCAAUAUUAUAAAUAUAAAACGGGGUCUGGCUGGCCAUCUGAAAGGCAGAAAAAUGAUUAACAAGGGAUCAUAAACACCUUUCAAGGAAAAGAUUUACACUUCCAAUGUGUUUUUCCCCCUGAUGAACUCUAUAAAACCAAAAAUGAUAUUAUUUAACCAAUAUGACACAAAAGCUUUCAAAAAUAGAGAAGGAAAGUUUGCUAACUCAUUCCAGGGAGCCAGCAUUACCUAGUACAAAACACAAAGGAAGAAAUUGCAGGGUCUCCUGAAUGACUCAGUCCAUUAAGCAUCUGUCAGUUGACGUGGACGCAGGUCAUGAUCUUACAGGAUCAGGAUCGGGUCCAGCAUUGUGCUCUGUGCCGAUAGUGCAUAGCUUGCUUGGGAUUCUAUCUCUCCUUCUUUCUCUGCCCCUCUGCACUUGCUCUCUCUCUCUCUCUCUCUGUCUUAGAUUAAAUAUAUAAACUUUAAAAAAGCAAAAGAAGGAAAAGUGCUUUUAGGCACAGAAAACAUGAUUGCGCAUGUAGAAAAUCCAAUGGCAAGUACAAAGAAACUACUAAGAAGCAUGAAAUGAAUUGAGCAAGUUUGCAGUAUAAAGGCCAACAUACAAAAGGCAACUGUUUUGUCCCUGUACCAGCAAAUCCCACCAUGCAUAUACAGCACAUGUACCACACAUGUGUGUAUAUACACACCUCACAGCUGUGCACUGGAAAAAGUGAUAUUGGCAAGGUGUCAGUUUCAGUCAGGACCUUGGCAGACAGUCUGUGGAAUUACUGAAUGUGAUGUGGGUGCCCUUGGGUAAGGCUUUUAAGCCUGGGCAGACCCAGUACUCACCUGAUGUGUAUCACCUUUGCCUGUCCCUGGGAGGCCAUUCACAGACAGCUGUGUGACCGGCUGCACAUCUUCGUUGACCAGGAAGCCUGCCGGGGCGGUGCUGACAACUGCUGCUCUCUGCAAAGGCCAUGAGUUCCUAGGGCAGGUGACCCUGCCCAACCGAAGUGCACCCCUGUCCCUGCACCUGGGAAAAGACAUGGUUUGCUGCAGCCUUCAGUUCUGGAAAACUUGACAUGGAGAUGUUCUGGCCACUUGCAGUCCCUGCCCUCAUCUUCUGAGAGACUGAGGCCCAGUGUGCUCAAGGCACAUGUACAAGUGGUGCAAAUGAGCCCUCCCUGUGCUCAGUGCAUGUGCUCAUCACACGUGGGCCCCUGAGAUAAGUACCUUAAGGACCAGUAAAAAAAUAAAGUAAUUCGUGAGGACUCA